GGAACACGUUUCUAACGUACCCCGAGGUCAGGGAUAGCUCACCGAAAGGUGUGGUAAUACCUGAUGAUCCCUCUAGGUCGCAUGGCCCUGAGGGCAAAGGCUUGCUGCCUCGGGAGCGGGAAACGUCCUAUCAGGUUGUUGGUGAGGUAACGGCUCACCAAGCCUAAGACGGGUAGCUGGUGUGAGAGCACGACCAGCCGCAUCGGGACUGAGACACUGCCCGGACUCCUACGGGAGGCUGCAGUAACGAAUAUUCCGCAAUGCGCGAAAGCGUGACGGAGCAAUGCCGCGUGAAGGAUGAAGCCCCUCGGGGUGUAAACUUCUGUCAGGGUCUAGGAAACCUGACCGGACCCAGAGGAAGAGCCGGCUAACUCUGUGCCAGCAGCCGCGGUAAUACAGAGGGCUCUAGCGUUAAUCGGAAUCACUGGGCUUAAAGCGUGCGUAGGCGGACUGGCAAGUGCGUUGUGAAAGCCCACGGCUUAACCGUGGAAUUGCUUCGUAGACUGCCUGUCUUGAGAUCGGUAGGGGCCGUCGGAACUCUAGGUGGAGCGGUGAAAUGCGUAGAUAUCUAGAGGAACGCCAAAGGUGAAGACAGACGGCUGGGCCGAUUCUGACGCUGAGGCACGAAAGCGUG
RNAcentral lists this ribosomal RNA (634 nucleotides) under uncultured bacterium. RNAcentral's name for it is "bacterial SSU rRNA". It matches the Rfam family "Bacterial small subunit ribosomal RNA", at positions 110 to 763 of the family's 1533-position model. The record is from RNAcentral.